Molecule: small nucleolar RNA, 133 nt
Organism: Pteropus vampyrus (large flying fox)
Lineage: Eukaryota; Metazoa; Chordata; Mammalia; Chiroptera; Pteropodidae
Source: Ensembl
ACAUGGUAAUGAGAUUUUGGCGGGCCCUUCUCUGUGGGCUGCUCAGUGGACCUACGCCAGAGUAACUGGAGCCUCGAAACAUUGCCCAGCCCCUCACCUGUGGGCUGUGAGUACUGAAAGGGCUUGUACAGUG